CCCUUCGACGUCUGGGGCCGCACGCGUGCUACACUGAGUGGAUCAGCGGGUCAGGUUGCGCGAAAGCGUUUCCUAAUCUUUAAAUCCGCUCGUGAUGGGGAUUGACGGUUGCAAUUUUCUGUCAUGAACGAGGAAUACCUUGUAAGCGCGGGUCAUCAUCCCGCGCUGAAUACGUCCCUGCCCUUUGUACACACCGCCCGUCGCUCCUACCGAUUGAGUGGUCCGGUGAGGCUUUGGGAUCUGAGCGGAAAGAGCGUUUCGCUGUUUCUGCUCGGAAAACUCAGUCGAACCUUAUCAUUUAGAGGAAGGAGAAGUCGUAACA
Molecule: ribosomal RNA, 322 nt
Filed under: uncultured eukaryote
Lineage: Eukaryota
Description: partial 18S ribosomal RNA
Rfam family: Eukaryotic small subunit ribosomal RNA
Source: RNAcentral